This 86-nucleotide transfer RNA is filed under the name Candidatus Peregrinibacteria bacterium RIFOXYA2_FULL_41_18. RNAcentral's name for it is "tRNA-Leu". It matches the Rfam family "tRNA". From Rfam's summary of the family: Transfer RNA (tRNA) molecules are approximately 80 nucleotides in length. Their secondary structure includes four short double-helical elements and three loops (D, anti-codon, and T loops). Further hydrogen bonds mediate the characteristic L-shaped molecular structure. tRNAs have two regions of fundamental functional importance: the anti-codon, which is responsible for specific mRNA codon recognition, and the 3' end, to which the tRNAs corresponding amino acid is attached (by aminoacyl-tRNA synthetases). tRNAs cope with the degeneracy of the genetic code in two manners: having more than one tRNA (with a specific anti-codon) for a particular amino acid; and 'wobble' base-pairing, i.e. permitting non-standard base-pairing at the 3rd anti-codon position. Lineage: Bacteria; Candidatus Peregrinibacteriota. The record is from RNAcentral. RNAcentral also lists the same sequence under 2 other names.
GGGCAUGUGGCGAAAUGGCAGACGCGCUACGUUCAGGUCGUAGUUCCCUCACGGGAUUGGAGGUUCAAGUCCUCUCAUGCCCACCA